RNAcentral lists this ribosomal RNA (253 nucleotides) under uncultured bacterium. RNAcentral describes it as "partial 16S ribosomal RNA". It matches the Rfam family "Bacterial small subunit ribosomal RNA", at positions 524 to 776 of the family's 1533-position model. The record is from RNAcentral.
UACGGAGGGUGCAAGCGUUGUUCGGAAUUACUGGGCGUAAAGAGCGCGUAGGCGGUUCUAUAAGUCAGACGUGAAAGCCCUGGGCUUAACCCAGGAUGUGCGUUUGAUACUGUAGAGCUAGAGGACCAGAGAGGUGAGUGGAAUUCCUAGUGUAGAGGUGAAAUUCGUAGAUAUUAGGAGGAACAUCAGUGGCGAAGGCGGCUCACUGGCUGGUAACUGACGCUGAGGCGCGAAAGCGUGGGGAGCAAACAGG